GCCCUGGAUUUCUUGGUUGGGCCUCUGAGAACCUCCUAGAAGAGCAGAGCUCCCCAACUAGCAUAUUAGGUACUCAGCACCAUUGGAAGGCGAUUCAUUUCCACCAGCUCACGUUCCAUCACCGCCUUCCUAAGAUAUUUCUGCCUACAGUCAAGGCCUCUGCCAGUUCUCUUCUCCCACAUGCCCAUUGGCAUGUGUUUUGCUACUUUAUGAAAGAAGAGAAUUUCAUCCUGGAAACUCCAGGCACACGGUGGCCCCUCGACUUCUGAUUCAGCCAUGCAUGUCCCUCUCCAGGGGGGUGGCCCUUCAUGGAGGUCACCCAUCCAUCUGGGCAAACUACUCAUCUCUGGUUUAAACAGGAGGUUCAAAGGAAACAACAAGAUGGCUAAGGAUGUAAAGACAAAAGAAAUAAAUGAGUUAUUUUA
Long non-coding RNA from Hyaena hyaena (striped hyena), 425 nucleotides. RefSeq lists it as uncharacterized. The record is from RefSeq and is a predicted model, not a curated record. The transcript has 3 exons. Lineage: Eukaryota; Metazoa; Chordata; Mammalia; Carnivora; Hyaenidae.